This 348-nucleotide unclassified non-coding RNA is filed under the name soil metagenome. RNAcentral's name for it is "partial contains 5.8S ribosomal RNA, internal transcribed spacer 2, and large subunit ribosomal RNA". The stretch from base 1 to 120 matches the Rfam family "5.8S ribosomal RNA", at positions 35 to 154 of the family's 154-position model. The record is from RNAcentral.
GAUGAAGAACGUAGCGAAAUGCGAUAAGUAAUGUGAAUUGCAGAAUUCAGUGAAUCAUCGAAUCUUUGAACGCACAUUGCGCCCGCCAGUAUUCUGGCGGGCAUGCCUGCCUGAGCGUCAUUUCAACCCUCAUGCCCCUAGGGCGUGGUGUUGGGGAUCGGCCAAAGCCCGCGAGGGACGGCCGGCCCCUAAAUCUAGUGGCGGACCCGUCGUGGCCUCCUCUGCGAAGUAGUGAUAUUCCGCAUCGGAGAGCGAUGAGCCCCUGCCGUUAAACCCCCAACUUUCCAAGGUUGACCUCAGAUCAGGUAGGAAUACCCGCUGAACUUAAGCAUAUCAAUAAGCGGAGGA